GCAAGUCGAACGGGGAAUUCUUAGAGCUUGCUUUUAGAAUUUCUAGUGGCGGACGGGUGAGUAACACGUGGGCAACAUGCCGGAAAGUGGGGGAUAGCCCGAGGAAACUCGGAUUAAUACCGCAUAUGAUCUAGUAGGAAAUCCUACCAUGAUUAAAGGUGGCGCAAGCUGCCGCUUUCUGAUUGGCCCGCGGCCUAUCAGCUUGUUGGUGAGGUAACGGCUUACCAAGGCAACGACGGGUAGCUGGUCUGAGAGGACGACC
RNAcentral lists this ribosomal RNA (262 nucleotides) under uncultured bacterium. RNAcentral's name for it is "partial 16S ribosomal RNA". It matches the Rfam family "Bacterial small subunit ribosomal RNA", at positions 57 to 305 of the family's 1533-position model. The record is from RNAcentral.